AUUGAACGCUGGCGGCAUGCCUUACACAUGCAAGUCGAACGGCAGCACGGGGGCAACCCUGGUGGCGAGUGGCGAACGGGUGAGUAACGCAUCGGAAUGUACCCAGUAGUGGGGGGAUAACUAGUCGAAAGAUUAGCUAAUACCGCAUACGCACUGAGGUGGAAAGCGGGGGAUCGCAAGACCUCGCGCUAUUGGAGCAGCCGAUGUCCGAUUAGGUAGUUGGUGGGGUAAAGGCCUACCAAGCCUGCGAUCGGUAACUGGUCUGAGAGGACGACCAGUCACACUGGGACUGAGACACGGCCCAGACUCCUACGGGAGGCAGCAGUGGGGAAUUUUUGGACAAUGGGCGCAAGCCUGAUCCAGCAAUGCCGCGUGUGUGAAGAAGGCCUCGGUUGUAACUGCUUUGUACGGUAACGGAAACGGACGAGCUCUAAUACAGUUUGCUAAUGACGGUACCGUAAGAAUAAGACACCGGCUAACUACGUAG
Molecule: ribosomal RNA, 487 nt
Filed under: uncultured bacterium
Lineage: Bacteria
Description: bacterial SSU rRNA
Rfam family: Bacterial small subunit ribosomal RNA
Source: RNAcentral